GUUAAUUUAUUUGUUUAUUUGUGGGACUGCUAUAAUGAUAUCCACUUAAAUCUAACUAUAACGGAAUUUUGUAUAGUGGUUCUCUGAUUUAAACUUGGAUCUUAUCCUUUUCAGCUGUCAUUUCAUUAAAAUCACCACUUUCUCGAAAUCCUAAUGUUGUCAUGGAAGGCUCUGUAGGGGCUGACCUUGAAGUCUCUGAAAGCUGAAUGCUCGGCAAAAGACUGCGGCUCUUUUGGUAUUCAGGGAGAAGAGAAAACAGGCUCCGUCUAAGAGUUUUUGACCUGGUCUGCCUGGUGUGUGGACAUAUUUCAAUUACCUGGGUUAUUCAAACCAAAAUUGGUUGGUAAUAGAAUAUGGGGAACAAUAGGGUAUUAUGACUUGGGAACAAAGGAUACUACAGGUUUUGACUGGUCACUGAGCAUAUCAUUUUCUUUUGGGCACAGGCUCUUAUUUCCUUAUAAAAUCGGAGAAUGAGUUCCUGUCUUCACUUCUAAAUUAACCCUCUUAAUUGCCGUUGUUUACCCACAGGGACCAUCAUGGUAGAUGGCUUGAGAGGGUGUCCUUGCUCCAAUGGUGGGCUGGUAAGGAAACAGGAGCAAGGCAGAAGCAAACCAUAACUCUUCUAGGAUUUAUUCUUAUUUUGCUUUGGUCUAUUUAUAUAAAUAUCUGAAUCAGUGAGAACCAGCCGCUUCGAAUACAUGUAUGCAUCUUUGGAUUUGCCGACAGAUAAAACAUUGCGUUGGGCUGUCUUCUGUCAAGUUCUCUCUGUCCUUAUGGUGUACAUAAAGGUGUACAUAUUUAUGGGGUUCAUGAAAUGUUUUGAUACAGGCACGUAAUGUGAAAUAAUUACAUCCUAGUGAGUGUGGUAUCCGUCCAUCCCCUCAAGAAUUUAUCCUUUGAGUUAUAAACAAUUCAUUUAUACUCUUUUAGCUCUUUUAAAAUGUACAAUUAAGUUAUUGACUAUAGUCAUCUUGUUGUGCUAUCAAAUAGUAGGUCUUAUUCUUUCGAUUUUUUUUGUGCCUAUUAACCAUCUCCACUUCUUUCUUAAUUUGGAACAGUUCCUUGAAGCUACAGAAAUAUUGUCUAGCAUGAUUAGGGAAGCACAGGAGGUAAAAAUACAUUGUUCAGGGAUCAGUUAUUGUCUUGUACAAGGUCUAGAAUCUAACAGGUUGCAAUCCGAGUGCAGAAUUUUUGACUGUACUUGCCUAUGAAGCUCCCACUUCCCCCUAAGACUCUUCCUUCCUGAUACUCAUCAUUCAUUUUGCGGACACUGCAGGAGGGGUCUGCAGUCCCAUUGGAGCUCUUGGCAAAUUGUAAUGCUCAGGACGGCACAGAUGUCACGCAAGGUCUUAGGGAGACCAGCCUUUCCCAUUCAAGUGCCCACAGCUCUUUCCCCAGCGGUCACCUUCCUCAGAAAUGGCCUUUAACACCGCCACCUCACCCCAUCCCCCUCCACUCUUGGGAAGCAUAAGUCUAGCAGUGGUAUCAGGCCUGAAGAAAGGAGGCUGAAGAUAGGCACAUGGCUUUGCUAAGUUAGCUUUUAUAUCCUGAGUGGCUGCCUUAGAAAGUGUCCUUGCCCAGCUUUCUGAACCUGAAGAACUUUGUAGAUUGAAAACUGUAGCUUGUGGACCCCUCUCUGUGGAGAUCAGCAUCUCAGUAUCCAGGGGGAAGUCAUCUCUUCACCCAAAGCUUCUGCUAGCACAUCAAGAGGCCCGGAACCCCGCAGUCCUGAAUGCUAACCAGUAGAGACAAGGGAGGAAUUCAUUUCUGUUUGUGUUCAACGUAGACUGAGCAGGAAGGGCCAGGUGUUUUACGGCUCUUUGGAGUUAGCAGCUUGAUGGCUGUGAUUUGGUAAAAACGAUCGGAAAUGCCUUCAGCACGGUGAUCAUUACAUGCAAGUGUUGCGAAGCGUUAGGAAAGGGAAUUUUUUUUUUUUUUUUUUUUUUUUUUAGGUGAGGGAAUUUCCCAUUGAGGAAGACCCCUGCUUCGUUUUUAGACUCAGCCUAUCAGUCAACUGAUUUGGCUGUGCAUGUAAAUACUUGAGUAUAAACUGCUGCCCCCUGCUACCUGCAGGCUGUCAUGUUGGUCAUCAAAGGCAGGAUCCUUCUAAUGAGGGAUUAGCUGGAUGCCUAAAUGCGGGACCACCUACUCUGUUCACUGUCUUAAUUAGCUAGAUGUUUGUUAGAGCUCAUGCAAAUUAUUUUCUGUAAGCAGACAGAUUUAGUGUCAUAUCUAAGGAGUGACAUCCAGGGUUUUGUCAGACAUCCAUUAAAAUUCUUUUUUUUUUUUUUUUUAAAUAUUUGAGAUGGGGUCUCACGAUGUUGCCCGGGGUUGUUCUUGAACUCCUGGGCUCAAGUAAUCCUCCCACCUCAGCCUCCCAAAGUACCGAGAUUACUGGUGUGAGCCACCGUGCCCAGACGCUGUUAACAAGUAUGAACAGAUUCGAUAUUUUCAGUCUAAUCUUCAGUGGUAAUGAUAAUAAAACUUCUUAACUUUCAUUCCUAAUACAGUAGUGGCUAAAACUUGAUUUUAAAAGUUUUUUCCAGAAUUUGGUCCAGAUGAAAAGUUUCUUUCACUUUGUGAACCUUUAGAACGCUGGGCUGCAUCAUAUGUUGUGACUUCAAAGCUAGAAUAACCUCACUUGGUUUCAGUUUUUGAGCCAAAGGACCCAUUAACAGAAAUAAAACUUUUCUUCUUGUGAACAUAUAUAAGCUGGCCACAUUGGUAGAUACCAGUGAAAUGUAUUUUGGGACUGACACUUGAAUUUUCUAUUGGUAUUUAUGUCACAAAAUCACCUCUCUAAGGUUUAUUACAUGGAGAUACACACACACACACACACACACACACUUUUAUAUCAAAAUGUAUAUAUUUUGAGGUAUAAAAAGUACGUGCUCAAGGUAUCAGUCACUCCUAAAUUUGUUUUCCUUGAAACAAAAUGAAGGUAUCAAAUUUCAUGCAGGGAAUCCCAAAGUGUUAUCAUGGCGUGAUGUUGAAAUUGAUGGUCUUAGCUUAGAGAGCCUACUUUUUAAAACUUGGGGUCCUGUUUCUAAAUCAUGUGUUGAAAUUACAGUGUGAACUGGACUUGCCAUACUCUUUGAUCCUGCAAAUCAUCACCGUGAUGACCUCCUAUCUGCUGCAAGUUCGACCCAUUCUACACUAAUACAAGAACAUUACUUUUUCUUCAUGUAGAGAAGGGUGUUCAUUCCUAAGACUUUAAAUCCACACUUCCCAUUUAUGGAGUACACCGGCUUCCUUUACUCCUUUGGUUCUUUGUUUUCUUUUUCGUACCUAGAUGUUACUAAAUUUUGCCUUUGAGCCUAAACCAUGCUGUUGAUGUUUUUUUUUUUUCCCCCACUUAUUCCGAAAGGUCCCAUAAAUCUGAGGCCAUAGCUAACUCAGAUUUAGUCAUUUUCUUGGGUAAAACAUACUCAUAUGAAAUCAUUACACUUAGGAUCUUGAAAUGCAUGAUUAGUUUCCUUUCUGAUUGUUGACAAGACAAACUGGUGGGAUCUUGGCAUUUAUCUUUUUAAGAACCUGGUGCUCAUUAAGGAAAGGAAAAUAUUCUGAAAUAAUCGAAGUAACCUUUUGGGCAUUGAAACUCCAUUUUGAAUUAAAAACAUUUGUGUCUGCUAUUCUCUUAUGCUAAAUUAUAUCCAGGUAUUAUAAGUAAAAUUAUUUGGAAGUUACUUUUUCUAAGAAACUAUGGAGAUUUAUUGACAAUAUUAGAAAGAGUCCUUAGCUGAUAAUUAUAUAAAAAUUGAGAAUUAGUACCUUAUGACUUAACCAUUUUACACUGAAAUAUUAUUGGACAUUGAAUGUACAUGGAAAUCACAUGGUCAAAGUAUUUGAGAAACAAGUAUCUCAAGGAAGAUACCAGUUUAAAACAUUCAAAUGACCUUCAUCUCAUAAUUUGGUAAUCUCAUGUAAAGUACUUUGGAUAGGGGUGUGUAUCUGUAUACAUACAUUUUAAAAAUAGAUUUGUAAUCACGUAUACAGUA
This is a long non-coding RNA of Cebus imitator (Panamanian white-faced capuchin), 3998 nucleotides long. RefSeq lists it as uncharacterized. The transcript has 4 exons. NCBI's taxonomy places the organism in Eukaryota, Metazoa, Chordata, Mammalia, Primates, Cebidae. The record is from RefSeq and is a predicted model, not a curated record.